Molecule: ribosomal RNA, 449 nt
Filed under: uncultured bacterium
Lineage: Bacteria
Description: partial 16S ribosomal RNA
Rfam family: Bacterial small subunit ribosomal RNA
Source: RNAcentral
AGCGAACGCUGGCGGCAGGCUUAACACAUGCAAGUCGAACGGGCACUUCGGUGCUAGUGGCAGACGGGUGAGUAACGCGUGGGAACGUGCCUUUCGGUUCGGAAUAAUCCAGGGAAACUUGGACUAAUACCGGAUACGCCCUUCGGGGGAAAGAUUUAUCGCCGAAAGAUCGGCCCGCGUCUGAUUAGCUAGUUGGUGAGGUAGAGGCUCACCGAGGCGACGAUCAGUAGCCGGUCUGAGAGGAUGAUCAGCCACAUUGGGACUGGGACACGGCCCAAACUCCUACGGGAGGCAGCAGUGGGGAAUAUUGGACAAUGGGCGCAAGCCUGAUCCAGCCAUGCCGCGUGAGUGAUGAAGGCCUUAGGGUUGUAAAGCUCUUUUGUCCGGGAAGAUAAUGACUGUACCGGAAGAAUAAGCCCCGGCUAACUUCGUGCCAGCCGCCGCGGUAA